GACCCUCUGGGGUGCUCGUGGCGCGGCGACAGUUAUUAAUCCCGCUGUACCUAACCCUUGGGAUCUGUUCCUUACCGCGGUGUGCAGACCGGUCAUUGCGUAUCGGAAGCCUGAAGCGGUAAUACGGAGCCCCCCUUCCGAGGACGCGGGGUUGGAACGCCGAGUAACACGGCACCAACGGAGGGUUA
RNAcentral lists this non-coding RNA (188 nucleotides) under Deltaproteobacteria bacterium. RNAcentral describes it as "6S RNA". It matches the Rfam family "6S / SsrS RNA". Rfam says of the family: E. coli 6S RNA was the first non coding RNA to be sequenced, but its function was unknown until recently. Lineage: Bacteria; Pseudomonadati; Myxococcota; Myxococcia. The record is from RNAcentral.